This is a long non-coding RNA of Equus caballus (horse), 2758 nucleotides long. The record is from Ensembl. NCBI's taxonomy places the organism in Eukaryota, Metazoa, Chordata, Mammalia, Perissodactyla, Equidae.
UAUUCAGCAAAUUAUUUAAUUUCUCUGCACCUAAAUUUGCUCAGUCAUGAAAUAUGGCUCAUUUUACCUAUUUCAUAGGGUUGCUCAAGGAUUAAAUGAGACAGCAUAAGUCACAUGCCUGCCUCAUAAUAGGUGCUCAAUAGAAGGGAGCUAUAUUACAGUGGCAGGAAAGGAAAUAAUGGAUUCAAGUACCUGAAAGGUUUGCCUCUGAGGGAGUGUCAGAUUGCAUUCUGCACAUAAAUAAUGCUCCCCGAACCCAAAAGAUCAUUGUCAUUUUUUGUCAUGUGCUAAAAUAUUAUCAGUAGAGACCCUGGAGGAAUCAAUGUGACAGUGUUUGAAUGAAUUAAUGAAGUUGCUCGCCUCAGCCAGGACUCUUUUCGCUUCUUUCCUCCAGGUGUACAAUCUAUUUAAAAAUCUGGGGGCUGGCCCCAUGGCCUAGUGGUUAAGUUCGGUGUGCUGCACUUCAGUGGCCCGGGUUUGGUUCCCAGAUGCAGACCCACACCACUCGUCAGCAGCCAUGCUGUGGUGGUGACCCACAUACAAAAUAGAGGAAGUUUGGCACAGAUGUUAGUUCAGGGCGAAUCUUCCUCAGCAAAAAAAGCAAAGUAAAGUAAAGUAAAAUAAAUAAAUAAAAAUCUGUACACUAGUGCUUAAUAAUUCUCUCUUACAACUUUUUCACAGAGCUUUUGCUGAAUGCUUUCACAGCUCUUAGAGUCAAAUUAUGUCACACACUUGACCAUUGUAUUCAUAGGACCAGAUAUUUGGGGCCUAAAGUAUAUAAACAUACAAUGAUGAGUAAGUGAAGUAUUUCAUAUUUAAAUGAUAAAGAAAUAUUAUUUUUAAGUUUGCUCCUGAUGGAUAGAUCUGAAAUGGCUAAAAAAAUUAAUUUUCGUAAAUGAGAGAAUGAGAAUAUGCCCAAAGAGGCUAAUUCUGGGCUGGGAAUAGCAAUAGUGAAAAAGAGUUCUCUAAUCAAAAAGCCUUAGAAGUGGAAACUUUGCCCUCUAUAUAAAGAGGCAUUAAUGAUGCAACCUGGGUAGUAUCUUCAGGCUUGGCCUAGAGCCAUCUUAAAAGGAAGGAAACCUUUGAUCUUUGGAGGAGGGUGUCUGGUUGUAGAGAUCCUACCUUUGGAGAUAAGAGGCUGGCAGGCCCACUGCAUUCUAGCUUUCACUUGACAGAGGAAGUCAAGAACCAAGAGACCAGAGCUGACUGGGUCGGCUCUGAGACAUCCCCUGGGUUGUUAUUUUUGUUGCCUGGGUCAGUUUCCUAUGAUGAUUACCAAUAAAAUCUCUAAAAUCAUCUUUAAAAAUAAUGUUCAUUCUGUAGUAGUGAUAGGAAACCGUUCUGUAGUCGGUAGCCAGACUUCAGUGUGGGGAGAAAAAUCAUCAAGGAUGGAGAGAAGCAACCAUGAAAGAGAGAGAAGCAGGCUGAGUCCCGGAGGCCUUGGUGAGGAAGAAAGCAGGAGAUCUGGCCGGAGAAGGGCUGCUGAGGAUCUCAGACAGUGUAGGAUCCAGCAAGGAAACUGCUGUCUCUUAGGUUCUAACAAUUCAAGCUUUUUGUUUCUUCUCUCCAGGUUUACAAUCUAUUUAAAACUCUGUACUUUAGUACGUAAUAAUUCUUUCUUACAACUUUUUCACAGAGCUUUCCGAAAGAAUUUAUCUUCUGGGUUUGGGGAAUGCUGAGAAGUCCAGCUCACUAGGAAAUAAAUUCAACCUGAUGACUUAAGCAAACUUCCUGAAUGGCCAAUGUAUGAAUUUAUCUCCAAUUCAAGAAUGAACAGAGCAUUGUCUUACCAAAUGUCAUCAUUUCCUGCCUUUGAGAAGGGACUAGAAAGACUUGUGCUGAACCAAUUCAGAGUAUUUUAGGGCAGCUCAGGCUCCCCAAAGGCACAUCUCCUAAGAUACAGAGUCAUUUGGAGGCCGUGUCGCUGUUCCCCACCCAGCCGCAGAAGUGUCCGAGGGCUUCUUCUUCCUCACCCUAUUCAGCAGAAUCGAGUCACUGAGUCCGGCCGGUGUUUAAGGGGAAGGCAUGUGCUAAACAAUUGGGAGACAGAAGCAAAUUUACACAGUCCAUGCUUUCAAGGAGCUCACAGUCAAAAUUACCAUUCCAUGUGACGACAGCAACAUUAGGAGCAUAAGUGAGGCACAGAGAUGGAAUAGAGGGUACAUUUCCAGAAGUGGAAUUAUUGAGUGAAAAGGUGUUGGGAAGAUUCCUGCUACAGAGCAGCAACCAGAGCUCAGAGAGAUACACCAAUGUGCUCUCCCGCCUGCAGCAGUGAGAGAAGGGCUCGUCUUACCACCGUCAAAAUGAUCUUGCCUUUUCAGAUUCUGAAUUGAUUUGGGUUUGGAGCGUGAGAGGUUCUGAACAUCUGCAUGAGCUGGGAGAGCAGGAGGCAAGAGGAAAGGGGACAGGAGCAAGUUCAGAAGGAGGCCAAGGCUACUGUCCUGAAAUGAAGAAGUAUGUUCCCUGCCUAGACUGGCUUGGGACAAGAAUCUCUCGGAACAAACAAAAGAGCAUGAGCAGAGCCUAGAAGAGUUUCUGGACCCCACUGACGUGAACAAAAGUCACAAGACUCUUAGUGAUGAGGAACCGGAGUUUUAUCAGAUCCCCUCUCCCACUUUAAAUAUUAUGCAAAUGUUUAUAUAUAUUGAUGCUAGUAUUAAGCAUGUGGUAAACUGUCUAGGGUUGUCAUUCCAUAAUGUGGAUUCACUCAUUCCCUAUUAACCAUUCUCUGCUUUCAUAAAGCCAAACUAUGAACUCC